AACGAACGCUGGCAGCAUGCCUAACACAUGCAAGUCGAACGGGACCUUCGGGUCUGGUGGCGCACGGGUGCGUAACGCGUGGGAACCUGCCCUUAGGUUCGGAAUAACUCCCCGAAAGGGGUGCUAAUACCGGCUAAUGUCUUCGGACCAAAGAUUUAUCGCCUUUGGAUGGGCCCGCGUUGGAUUAGCUAGUUGGUAGGGUAAAAGCCUACCAAGGCGACGAUCCAUAGCUGGUCUGAGAGGAUGAUCAGCCACACUGGGACUGAGACACGGCCCAGACUCCUACGGGAGGCAGCAGUGGGGAAUAUUGGACAAUGGGCGAAAGCCUGAUCCAGCAAUGCCGCGUGAGUGAUGAAGGCCUUAGGGUUGUAAAGCUCUUUUACCCGGGAUGAUAAUGACAGUACCGGGAGAAUAAGCUCCGGCUAACUCCGUG
RNAcentral lists this ribosomal RNA (433 nucleotides) under uncultured bacterium. Its description in RNAcentral is "partial 16S ribosomal RNA". It matches the Rfam family "Bacterial small subunit ribosomal RNA", at positions 29 to 507 of the family's 1533-position model. The record is from RNAcentral.